GAUGAACGCUGGCGGCGUGCCUAACACAUGCAAGUCGAGCGAUCUCUUCGGAGAGAGCGGCGGACGGGUGAGUAACGCGUGGGUAACCUGGCCUGUACACACGGAUAACAUACCGAAAGGUAUACUAAUACGGGAUAAUAUAUGAAAGUCGCAUGGCUUUUGUAUCAAAGCUCCGGCGGUACAGGAUGGACCCGCGUCUGAUUAGCUAGUUGGUAAGGUAAUGGCUUACCAAGGCAACGAUCAGUAGCCGACCUGAGAGGGUGAUCGGCCACACUGGAACUGAGACACGGUCCAGACUCCUACGGGAGGCAGCAGUGGGGAAUAUUGCACAAUGGGCGAAAGCCUGAUGCAGCAACGCCGCGUGAGCGAUGAAGGCCUUCGGGUCGUAAAGCUCUGUCCUCAAGGAAGAUAAUGACGGUACUUGAGGAGGAAGCCCCGGCUAACUACGUGCCAGCAGCCGCCGUAA
RNAcentral lists this ribosomal RNA (466 nucleotides) under uncultured bacterium. RNAcentral's name for it is "partial 16S ribosomal RNA". It matches the Rfam family "Bacterial small subunit ribosomal RNA", at positions 28 to 523 of the family's 1533-position model. The record is from RNAcentral.